GGACGAACGCUGGCGGCGUGCUUAACACAUGCAAGUCGAACGAGGUCCAGUGAUCCUUCGGGUGAGCGAAGACCUAGUGGCGAACGGGUGCGUAACACGUGAGAAACCUGCCCCAGACUUGGGAAUAACAGUCGGAAACGACUGCUAAUACCGAAUACCUUCGUAACGUCGCAUGGCGAAUCGAAGAAAGCUUUUGCGGUUUGGGAGGGUCUCGCGGCCUAUCAGCUAGUUGGUGAGGUAACGGCUCACCAAGGCAUCGACGGGUAGCUGGUCUGAGAGGAUGAUCAGCCACACUGGGACUGAGACACGGCCCAGACUCCUACGGGAGGCAGCAGUGGGGAAUCUUGCACAAUGGGCGAAAGCCUGAUGCAGCAACGCCGCGUGCGGGAAGAAGGCCUUAGGGUUGUAAACCGCUUUCAGCAGGGAAGAAAAUGACGGUACCUGCAGAAGAAGGUGCGGCCAACUACGUGCCAGCAGCCGCGGUGACACGUAGGCACCAAGCGUUGUCCGGAUUUAUUGGGCGUAAAGAGCUCGUAGGCGGUUCAGUAAGUCGGGUGUGAAAACUCUGGGCUCAACCCAGAGAGGCCACCCGAUACUGCUGUGACUUGAGUACGGUAGGGGAGUGGGGAAUUCCUGGUGUAGCGGUGAAAUGCGCAGAUAUCAGGAGGAACACCAGUGGCGAAGGCGCCACUCUGGGCCGUAACUGACGCUGAGGAGCGAAAGCGUGGGUAGCAAACAGGAUUAGAUACCCUGGUAGUCCACGCCGUAAACGUUGGGCACUAGGUGUGGGUCUCAACCAACGAGAUCCGCGCCGUCGCUAACG
Molecule: ribosomal RNA, 823 nt
Filed under: uncultured bacterium
Lineage: Bacteria
Description: bacterial SSU rRNA
Rfam family: Bacterial small subunit ribosomal RNA
Source: RNAcentral